GACCUCAGAUCAGGUAGGACCACCGCCUGAACUUAAGCAUAUCAAUAAGGCGAGGAACAGAAACCAACAGGGAUUCCCCUAGUAGUGGCGAAUGAAGCGGGAAAAGCUCAAGUUUGAAAUCUGGCGGGCUCGUACCAUCAGAGUUGUAAGCUGAAGAGGCAUCGACCGACGUCGUCCGGGCCCAAUUUCCUUGGAACAGGAAGUCAUUGAGGGUGAGAACCCCGUCUGUGGCUCGGAGCCUUCGUCCUUGUGUCGUGUCCUCGAAGAGUCGGGUUGUUUGGGAAUGCAGCUCAAAAUGGGUGGUAAAUUCCAUCUAAGGCUAAAUAUUGACGAGAGACCGAUAGCGAACAAGUAGAGUGAUCGAAAGAUGAAAAGUACUUUGAAAAGAGAGUGAAACAGUACGUGAAAUUGUUGAAAGGGAAGCGU
RNAcentral lists this ribosomal RNA (426 nucleotides) under uncultured fungus. RNAcentral's name for it is "eukaryotic LSU rRNA". It matches the Rfam family "Eukaryotic large subunit ribosomal RNA", at positions 1 to 422 of the family's 3401-position model. The record is from RNAcentral. Lineage: Eukaryota; Fungi.